UACGAAGGGGGGCUAGCGUUGUUCGGAAUCACUGGGCGUAAAGGGCGCGUAGGCGGCCGAUCAAGUCGGGGGUGAAAGCCUGUGGCUCAAUCACAGAAUUGCCUUCGAUACUGUUUGGCUUGAGACCGGAAGAGGUAAGUGGAACUGCGAGUGUAGAGGCGAAAUUCGUAGAUAUUCGCAAGAACACCAGUGGCGAAGGCGGCUUACUGGUCCGGUUCUGACGCUGAGGCGCGAAAAGCGUGGGGAGCAAACAGG
This 255-nucleotide ribosomal RNA is filed under the name uncultured bacterium. Its description in RNAcentral is "partial 16S ribosomal RNA". It matches the Rfam family "Bacterial small subunit ribosomal RNA", at positions 524 to 776 of the family's 1533-position model. The record is from RNAcentral.